Long non-coding RNA from Brassica napus (rape), 1403 nucleotides. RefSeq lists it as uncharacterized. The record is from RefSeq and is a predicted model, not a curated record. Lineage: Eukaryota; Viridiplantae; Streptophyta; Magnoliopsida; Brassicales; Brassicaceae. The transcript has 3 exons.
AGGGGAGGUGACUUAGGUGAGCAACGUCAAUAUAAAUUUUAAUGACGAAUCACAAACAACUCAACACAUAAUGGAGGCCAUCCAAAUUGACGGGUACUUGAGUGUUUCAGGACCACUAAAAUGUUAAUAUAUCCUCUUGGUUUGAUUGUAUACUACCAAACUUGAAAUAUGCAUCAUGACAUCUACAUACUUCAUUUUCUGUUAAUAUAUUUCCAACCUUCUAAAGUGCUCUACAAUAUCUACUACUGUCUGUCUAAGUGUCUUUGACGUCCAGGCCAGCAAACUCCACCAGAACUUAGAUGGGGUUGGUGUGGAGCCUAAGGUCAUUAAUAUCUAUCAAAGAACAUUAAUCCAAAAUUUGUAGGAGGUCAACAGCUUCCCACGAACCUUUCUAUUUCAUACUUGUGUGUGCAUAACUAUUCCAACACUAACUAGGCUAGACUUGCAGGACGCUUAUAUUUGAAUGCAAUUUCAGGGACCAAUUUCCACUUCGACAAAGAACUUCGGUGAGGAUGGUGUCACCAGCUCUGCAAGUUAUACCAAAUAUGGAGAUGUUCAGAAAAUUGAAACUGUUACGGUGCUCAAGCUUAAUGCGUACGUGCUGAAAUCUCGCUGCAGGUUUCUGAGUUCCUUUGCACCAACAAAGUAGACGCCACUGAAACCACCAAUGGAUGGUGCUACAUUUUCUGCUACAAAUGUUCAAGAAAGCUACAGCGAGGAUUCCCUUCACUCACAUGCACCUAUUAUCAUAACUCUAGCACUAUUGGUGUUGUCAGGUAUUGCCCGGUAGAUUUAUCUCACUUCUCACUUUUUAAAAUAUUCACUAAACAAGCCAUCUAACAUUCUCCCAUUGGCGUUUUAAAAUUUUGCAAACCGUGUGGAGAUUUGUGUCUCUGAUGCGAGAGAGUCAUCCAUGUUUGACUACAAAUUGGUAUUUCAAUAUUUACAUACACAAGCUACGUAAUGAUGUUUACAUUCUUUUCAUUAAAAUGCAGGCUGCAAGUGUUGCAAACCCUCUAGAGUCUGAGGUUUCACAAUUUCUCCAAGAAAUAGUUGUGAGACGUUUGAUUUUCAAUUGAAGCUUUUUGAGUUCAUUUUCAACUCCAAACAUCAAUCAUUCACUGUGUCCCACAUAUUUUAUUGUCAUCAGCGUCCCCUACUGAAACUUUUACUUAGGAAAGUUUUACGCCCUAUUUGGCGUGACUGGGAAAGAAAUUGGUGUGUUUUCAGUCGCUGGGAAGUGAGAAGGAAUAUGCAGGGACAGCACUAUCACCGGAUUCAUUUGAUUAUUUAGUCCCCGCGUCUUUUGUUUCAAACUCCAAAUGAAGAAAAUAUCAUUAACAUUUUCUGUCGCUGAUGCUAAUCGUUGCGUUCUUGAAACGAACACACCCUUAAUAUGUUAA